UGGAAAUGAUGAUUUCUCGCUGAACUGAUGUGGUCCAAAAUCACACAUGAGCAAAAUCCUCAAGAUAGUCAAGUCCUGAUCCAG
Molecule: small nucleolar RNA, 84 nt
Filed under: Notechis scutatus (mainland tiger snake)
Lineage: Eukaryota; Metazoa; Chordata; Lepidosauria; Squamata; Elapidae
Description: Small nucleolar RNA SNORD20 (ENSNSUG00000005156.1)
Rfam family: Small nucleolar RNA SNORD20
About the family: U20 is a C/D box small nucleolar RNA that is encoded in intron 11 of the nucleolin gene in human, mouse and rat.
Source: Rfam by way of RNAcentral